GACGAACGCUGGCGGCGUGCUUAACUCAUGCAAGUCGAACGGAAAGGCCCUGCUUUUGUGGGGUGCUCGAGUGGCGAACGGGUGAGUAACACGUGAGUAACCUGCCCUUGACUUUGGGAUAACUUCAGGAAACUGGGGCUAAUACCGGAUAGGAGCUCCUGCUGCAUGGUGGGGGUUGGAAAGUUUCGGCGGUUGGGGAUGGACUCGCGGCUUAUCAGCUUGUUGGUGGGGUAGUGGCUUACCAAGGCUUUGACGGGUAGCCGGCCUGAGAGGGUGACCGGCCACAUUGGGACUGAGAUACGGCCCAGACUCCUACGGGAGGCAGCAGUGGGGAAUAUUGCACAAUGGGCGGAAGCCUGAUGCAGUAACGCCGCGUGCGGGAUGACGGCCUUCGGGUUGUAAACCGCUUUCGCCUGUGACGAAGCGUGAGUGACGGUAAUGGGUAAAGAAGCACCGGCUAACUACGUG
Molecule: ribosomal RNA, 468 nt
Filed under: uncultured bacterium
Lineage: Bacteria
Description: partial 16S ribosomal RNA
Rfam family: Bacterial small subunit ribosomal RNA
Source: RNAcentral